RNAcentral lists this transfer RNA (103 nucleotides) under Planctomycetaceae bacterium TMED240. RNAcentral describes it as "tRNA-Asn". It matches the Rfam family "tRNA". Rfam says of the family: Transfer RNA (tRNA) molecules are approximately 80 nucleotides in length. Their secondary structure includes four short double-helical elements and three loops (D, anti-codon, and T loops). The record is from RNAcentral. Lineage: Bacteria; Pseudomonadati; Planctomycetota; Planctomycetia; Planctomycetales; Planctomycetaceae.
UCUGGGGUGGUGAAAUUGGUAAACACGCAUCACUGUUCAUGGUGUGAUUGAAUAUACUGCAAUGUAUUUAAUCUUGGAGGUUCGAAUCCUUCCCCCAGAGCCA